RNAcentral lists this ribosomal RNA (301 nucleotides) under uncultured bacterium. RNAcentral describes it as "partial 16S ribosomal RNA". It matches the Rfam family "Bacterial small subunit ribosomal RNA", at positions 509 to 809 of the family's 1533-position model. The record is from RNAcentral.
CAGUAGCCGCGGGAAUACGUAGGUCCCGAGCGUUGUCCGGAUUUGUUGGGCGUAAAGCGAGCGCAGGCGGUUAGAUAAGUCUGAAGUUAAAGGCUGUGGCUUAACCAUAGUACGCUUUGGAAACUGUUUAACUUGAGUGCAAGAGGGGAGAGUGGAAUUCCAUGUGUAGCGGUGAAGUGCGUAGAUAUAUGGAGGAACACCGGUGGCGAAAGCGGCUCUCUGGCUUGUAACUGACGCUGAGGUUCGAAAGCAUGGGGAGCAAACAGGAUUAGAUACCCCCGUAGUCCCUGUCUCUAUACAC